Musa acuminata AAA Group (dessert banana) is the source of this 5769-nucleotide RNA transcript. RefSeq lists it as uncharacterized. Lineage: Eukaryota; Viridiplantae; Streptophyta; Magnoliopsida; Zingiberales; Musaceae. The transcript has 10 exons. The record is from RefSeq and is a predicted model, not a curated record.
CUCCAAAGACACACCCAAACUCCCCCAUCGCCUCUUCGAGAGCUCGCUCUCCCUCGUCUCCGCUUCGAUCCAGGUACCCCAAACCCCAAUCGAUCCCCUCGGCUCCGUUCGCCUCCAUCGAUUCCUCUCGCAACCUUCUCCAAUUCUUCAAAAUCUCCAUCUCUCGUAGGAGGUAUGCCGGAUUCGCUCUCCUUGGUCCCCUAAGUUUCAAUUUUGUGUUGCUGUUCUGGGAUCAGAGGCGCGCUGGUCUUUUACUAGAUCCAUACGGGAUGGAUGGUGACUGGGGAUCUUUUUUUCUUACCGUGGAUUCCGUGGCGCGAUCGGUUUGGGUUCGUGCUUUGGAUUAGGAGUGACUUCUCUUGGUGAAGGGAUAUUGGUGUUUCGUUGCUAUGUCUUCGGUGGAGGAGGAGACGGUUGCUAUGAAGAGGGGGGUCGCGAACGGGGUUUCUGCGUCGAAGGAGGUCCGUGAACCGAAUCGGCAGAAGAAGAGGCGGUUGGUUUUGAGCGAUUCGGAUUCAGACGAUUGUUUGUUUUCUCUAAGCAAGGUGGAUCACAGGACCGAUCAGAACGGAGACAGCUCGAGCAUCGGUGAAGACAAUGGCGUGGAGCGGAUGGAAGAGAAAGGCAAGGUUGAGGUAGAGAAUAAGAAGAGGGUUUUAAGGCCAGAUUUCAUGAAGCGAAAUGAAGAGCUCAUAGUUUCUGACAAGAAAGAAGUUACCAAGCCAGAGUUGGAAAGAAGGAGUAGAGAGCCAGCUGAUGCCAAAGUUCCUGCAAAGAAACUGGAAAUGGAUUUUUCAGAACGAGGAGGAGGCAACAAUUCUGAAAUAUCAAAAAGAAAACUGUUGCAUGGUCGAGAUGACACAAAUGAUAUGGAGGCAGAAAAAGAUGUAGGUUCCAAACCUCUAGAUCCCACGAGCAUCAAGAGGGAUGGGUUGAUGGAGAAUGACACGGAGACAAACUCUCCCAGGACUAGCAGGAGAGAAGCUGAAAAAGACAAGCCAAUACAGUCAUCAGGUAAUCAAACACUUCGUAUGAGACAUAAUAGCAGCAGUUCUGCUAAUGAAAAGAGAGCAGAUACUGCCAUGUCACAAUCCAAAGCUGGUGUUCUGACGUUGCAAGGGAAAAAUGGUGUCUUGAGGGUCUCACCAAGUAACAAAAGGGCAGAUGGGCUGAAGAACCAUUCUAAAAGGAAAGAUGAGGAAAAAUUAAAGGCUGUAGGCUCUCCUAAGGAUUCCGCCCGAGGUAUACCAAAGAGACCAUCUCUUUCUCCAGAUCAAAGAGUACAUGGAAAAUCAAGUACAGGAGCUACAUUCAGUAAGUAUCAAUCAAGAAAGGCAAAAAUUGACAAAACUGAGGAAAUUAGAUCCAGUAGACGAAAAACAAAGCCAGUAAUUGUUUCUCCGAAAAGAGAAAAAAAAAGAACGGAUAAGCUGAAGAGCAGGACUGGUUUGAAAAUAAAGAGCAGAUCCAGCUCAAAAGCUGCUUUUAUUGCAAAACAAAAAUUAAAUAAAGCAAGUGUAGCACGCAGCACUGAAAAACAGAACCUCAGGGAUCAGAUAAAAAACAUACUUCUUAAUGCUGGUUGGACAAUAGAUCUGAGGCCAAGGAAAGGCAGAAACUAUGAAGAUUCUGUUUAUAUUCCUCCUGAAGGAAAAAGUGGUUAUUGGUCAAUUACAAAGGCUUAUGCUGCAUAUCAGGAACAACUGAACAGGGCAUGCAAUGAGAGGGGCAAGAAUUCUUCAGGAAGAUCCUCUAAAACAUCUUCUGGCAGUGACUCUGUCGUACCGAUGGAAUCCUUAGAUAUACUAAAGAGAAUUGUUAACAAGAGAGGGAGGAGGGAAGAGCUCAAGGAAACUCAAAGGGGCAAAAAGAAAGUAAAGAGAACUUCUGACAUGAGGCAUGCUAGACAUCAAGACACUCAGGAUAAGCUUGAUGAUAAUAGAGGCAGAAAGAAGUCAAACAGUGCCUUGCCCUCAAACAUGAAGAUUGCUGUUGGUUCCACUGUUCUUAAGCAUGUUCAAAAAGGAAGAAACAAACAGAGAGGAUGCACUCUGUUGGCUCGUGGCAGCAACCAGGAGGCAGAAGCUGAAGAUAAUGAUUAUGUUCCAUACAUGUGGAAAAGGACAGUUCUCUCAUGGAUGAUAGAUAUGGGUGUCUUGACCAUAAACGGAAAAGUGAAAUACAUGAACCAGAGAAAAACAAAGACAAAGCUGGAAGGCCGGAUAACAAGAGAUGGUAUUAAUUGCAGUUGCUGCAGUAAAAUUAUUCCUGUGCCAAAGUUUGAGCUUCAUGCUGGAAGCAAACUUCUCCAGCCAUCACAAUAUAUAUUUCUGGAAGAUGGAGGAGUUUCCCUGUUGCAGUGUCAGCUUGAUGCAUGGAAAAAGCAGGAUGAGUCAGAACGCCAAGGAUUCUACUGUGUUGAUGUAAGCGGUGAUGACCCAAAUGAUGAUACUUGUGGCAUCUGCGGUGAUGGUGGUGACUUGAUCUGUUGUGAUGGUUGUCCUUCAACAUUCCAUUUGAGUUGUUUGGGCAUUGAGAAGCUUCCUCCUGGAGAUUGGCACUGUACAAACUGUUGCUGCAGAUAUUGUGGGGGUAUCUCUACUGAUGCCACCCGAGAAACGGAUGGAACAGUUUCUUCGUUACUCUCGUGCCACCAGUGUGAGGCAAAAUACCACCAAGGCUGUGUUCCUGAUGCAGAAUCUGUUUCUGCCAUUACCAAGAAUUUGGGCAUGUCUUUUUGUGCCCAAAGUUGCAGAAAGGUUUUCAAACGAUUGCAGAAGAUUCUUGGGAUCAAGAAUGACUUGGAAGCAGGAUUCUCAUGGAGUGUUAUUAGGCGUUUUGAUGAGGAUGCUCCCAAAACACCACUGAAGUCUCAUUUAAUUGCUGAAUGCAACUCGAAGGUUGCUGUUGCCCUUGCAGUUAUGAACGAGUGCUUUCUUCCGAUUAUUGACCAGAGAAGUGGUGUUAACCUGAUUCAUAAUGUUGUGUAUAACUGUGGAUCAAAUUUCAAUCGGCUGAACUAUAGGGGUUUCUACUCUUUUAUUUUGGAGCAAGGUGAUGAAAUUAUUUCUGUGGCAUCUAUCAGAAUUCAUGGAACUAAGCUGGCUGAAAUGCCUUUCAUCGGGACGAGAAACAUGUAUAGACGCCAAGGGAUGUGCCGUCGGCUUCUAGAUGGAAUUGAAUCAGCCCUCUUCUCUCUUGAUAUCGAAAAGCUAGUUAUACCUGCUAUUUCUGAACUGAAGGACACAUGGUCUAAUGUAUUUGGCUUUAAACCUCUUGAGGUUUCACAAGAAUUAGAAGUUAGAUCCAUAAAAAUAUUGGUUUUUCCUGGUACUGGUUUAUUACAGAAGCCACUCCUGAAAAUGCAUUCUUCUGUACAAUAUUCAGCUGUCGAUGGAGUUGAUAAUGACAUCAAACAUCAGCAUCAGACAAUAUCAACUCAUAUAUCAUCUGAGUUCUCAUCUAUUGAGCCCAACCUCCAUAUUCCUGGUCAGGAUGUUGUCCAUUGCAUAAAUCCAAAUCAAGAUGCAGAACCUAGCUUGUCAUCUUCUAGAGUUUCACCUGAUUCUUCUGAUUCUCCUCGACCCAAUUGUAAAUUUCAAGAAAACAAGAUUUCGGAGACUGCUGGUGAUUUAUGCAUGCACAAUUUUCCUGGGGGAGGUUUAUCAGGUUCUCAUGAUGAAGAUAAAUGUCAAGUUGAUUUUUCAACUAAUCAACAAGCUGAGUUGAUUAGUGAGCUAACUUUUUUUGAUAGUCAAGAAGGGGAAAAUGUAGAAGCUAAUCCAUCCGCCGAUCUGCAAGAAUGUGAUUCUGUUUCUAAGCAGAGUUAUCCGGAUGGUUUUGCCUCUGAUACUAAAAAAUCAGGAUCUGCUUCUCUUAGCAUGCAUUCCACAGAAUUUAACUUGUUGCAACAUAAAUUGGAGGAUCAUUGCACUCCUCUAGGUAUUGAUACUUUCACAUUGAAACAGAAUGUUAGGAUGAAUGUAGAACUUCCACUAGGCUCCUUGGAGUCUACAUCAACUCCUAGUUUUCAAUGUCAUGUGACAACCAAAGCUCAUUCUCCAAAUUCAUCAGAGAGCAAUGACCAGGUAUCUUCUGAAUCUGCCCAUGAUGCAAAUCAUUUUGAAAAAUCUCUUAUGGUGCAUUUAGAGCCAUGCUUUCUGUUAAGCAGCAUUUGUAAGGUGAAAGCUAAAGAUUCCAUCCUUGAUCCAAACUCCUCUGUAAAUGAUGGGAACUCAGAACCUUAUGCUUUUGAAAUUGUUAAAAGAUGUCUGAAUGUUGCUGCUACAGAAGAAAAUGGGGCUUUUUGCUCAAGUGCUGCAGUUCCUGAUUCUGAUGAAAAUGCUAGGUUUUCUAUACAGCAAAGUAUUUUAGACACAGUUUACGUAACAAAUGGUACUGUUUGUGAAUCAAACUUAUCUUGUGUUGUUAAGAGCUGCAGGAUACCAAGUGAGACUAACCAUUCUCACAUGGCUUGUUCUGGGAUGCUAGAUGCAGAUAUCCAUGAUGUUCAGCCUAAUUUAACACCUAUCAAUUUCGUUGCUGCUGAUAUUUUGGACAAGUCUCAUCAUAUUUGCAAUGAGUUCACAAAUGGAACUGAAAGUAAAAAAUGAUGAGGUAUCCUUUGUCCAAUGUAUUGAUGAUUGUAGUCUUCAUGAUGAUUCUGUGGACAUAAAGAAGUUUGAUUUAGGUUCAGAACCUUCUUAAUGGCUACUGAUAAACCCUCUGUGGCUUAAUCCCAGCAGAACAUCUGUUUACUGGUGUUGCUGGGUUUCCUGUUGGGGAUGAUAUUCAUAUGAUACACAAGGUUUUUCUGAGGCAAGAUGCACAAGGUUGUUAGUGGACCCCGCAGGUUGCCAGUUGUGUACUGGAGAAUUAUUUUGUUGAUUCAUCUUGUAAAUAGUAAAGGCCUUUAAAAUCAUCCAAGCCCCUCUAUUGUGAGUUAGAAAGAUUAUCUUAAAGGAAUCUUAUCAUCUGAGCAUGGUGAGAAUGGUGUGUUAUUUUUCACAUGAAGUAUAUGGUGAUCUAUUGCAUAAUCAUCCUCAGUUUCAAUCAACAUUUCGCUGAGUUACCAUUGAGUUUCUAACAGAAGUGCAAAAUGAAGUAAAGUAACCUAGUUUUGGCGGUUAAAAAGACUGACAAGCCAAUGUUCAUCAAGGACUUACGAUAGUUCCUACUCAUGUACAGAGCAGAUUCAGUUGGAAUAAUCAAUCACCACAUCCGGCAGGUUUUUCUCUGCCAUGUAUAGAAAUCAGUGAGUGGUUAUCUGCUACUUAUGCAAUGGGGGAAUUACUUCAUCAAGGACCUGAUUUGGCGAAUCAAAGGAAUGGUCUCCACAAUGAAUCUAAGCGGAUUAGGAAUACUGCUAUAGCGCUGACUAGGGUGAAGGCUAGAGGGUUUGGUAUUCUUGUCAAGUUAGUUUAGGUCGAUUAGGAAACAGGUAGCAUAUGGUGCUAUACCCUGUUCUGCUUUAACGGCCUAAACGAGGAGUAGACGGUGCAACCCAAAGGGAUGAUCAGAUCUAUUAAAGACUUGGCACGAACGGAGUGAGAAUGGGUGAAGAUCUCAAGGUACGUCCAAAGUCUCCUCUAAGUGUCUUUAGAAGAAAUAAUAACUAUCAAUUCGUCACUAAAAGUGAUUGUGUUUUGUCUUCUUCGUCUUCUAGUAGAGCAUUGGAGGUGUUGCUAACAAUUGAUGGGCAAAUUUUGAAGGUUCUUUUUUUUAAUUCCAAGGCACUAAUGGGUAACAAUGAAGGUCAUUUUCAGGUCA